GAUGAACGCUGGCGGCGUGCCUAAUACAUGCGAGUCGAGCGAACGGACGAGAAGCUUGCUUUUCUGAUGUUAGCGGCGGACGGGUGAGUAACACGUGGAUAACCUACCUAUAAGACUGGGAUAACUUCGGGAAACCGGAGCUAAUACCGGAUAAUAUUUUGAACCGCAUGGUUCAAAAGUGAAAGACGGUCUUGCUGUCACUUAUAGAUGGAUCCGCGCUGCAUUAGCUAGUUGGUAAGGUAACGGCUUACCAAGGCAACGAUGCAUAGCCGACCUGAGAGGGUGAUCGGCCACACUGGAACUGAGACACGGUCCAGACUCCUACGGGAGGCAGCAGUAGGGAAUCUUCCGCAAUGGGCGAAAGCCUGACGGAGCAACGCCGCGUGAGUGAUGAAGGUCUUCGGAUCGUAAAACUCUGUUAUUAGGGAAGAACAUAUGUGCAAGUAACUGUGCACAUCUUGACGGUACCUAAUCAGAAAGCCACGGCUAACUACGUG
Molecule: ribosomal RNA, 497 nt
Filed under: uncultured bacterium
Lineage: Bacteria
Description: partial 16S ribosomal RNA
Rfam family: Bacterial small subunit ribosomal RNA
Source: RNAcentral